UCAAUUACACGAAUUUCUCACAUUAUCGACGUGGAAUUCUAUAUUCUUUCUCCUAGUGAGGGUAUUUAAAAAAAAAAAUUAAAUCCUUGAAAUCAAAGCUAGCAGCCCUAAUCAAGUUGUUUUUUUUUUCAACCCACCGCCACCCCUCUUCGCAUCAUCAUCAGCCGUUCGUCAACCGACGCCGCCGUUGCCAAUACCGACUCUGACUCCACCGUCGUAGAAGUGCUGAAGGAGACAAGUUGGUUUUUAGAAACAGAUGUCACCCGCCCAUCAACCGACACCGCCGCCGACGCAUGCUCCACCGCCGUAGAAGUGCUGAGUGGGCAUCAUAACCCAGCUUCGGCGUUGAUUUCUCCGGCGGCUGAAUUGCGUAGUUGAGAGGUGUUUUGAAAGAUCUCAAAUCUCGAAAAAACAGAAUACAAAUCCAACACAAUCAGUUGCGAAGACGAAGGUGGCGGGUGACUGGUGACAGGCUGGCGACUAGCGACGGGUUCGAUGAUGGUGCGAAGAUGAUCGGCUGCAAAGUUCAACGGGUUCGAUGAUGGUGCGAAGAUGAUCGGCUGCGAAGUUCGAUGAUGGUGCCAAGAUGAUCGGCUGCGAAGAUAAAGGCGGCGGGCGGCGGGUAGGCAACUGGCGACGAGUGCAAAGAUUUCAAGGAUUUAAUUUUUUUUUUUAAAAUAUACUUACUAGGAGAGAGAAGCAAGAAUAUCACGUCGGUAGUGUGAGGAGUUCGUGUAAUUGAGUAGUGCUAUAUAGUAUUACUCUUAAAAAUAAAAUUAAAGUUAUGAUUUUCUCAA
Molecule: long non-coding RNA, 797 nt
Organism: Dioscorea cayenensis subsp. rotundata (Guinea yam)
Lineage: Eukaryota; Viridiplantae; Streptophyta; Magnoliopsida; Dioscoreales; Dioscoreaceae
Exons: 2
Source: RefSeq, a predicted model, not a curated record